Molecule: ribosomal RNA, 288 nt
Filed under: uncultured bacterium
Lineage: Bacteria
Description: partial 16S ribosomal RNA
Rfam family: Bacterial small subunit ribosomal RNA
Source: RNAcentral
ACUCCUACGGGAGGCAGCAGUGGGGAAUAUUGCACAAUGGGCGCAAGCCUGAUGCAGCCAUGCCGCGUGUAUGAAGAAGGCCUCGGUUGUAUGUAGUCUUUCAGCAGUGAGGAAGGUGGGUAUGUUAAUAGCAUACUCAUUUGACGUUAGCUGCAGAAGAAGCACCGGCUAACUCCGUGCCAGCAGCCGCGGUAAUACGGAGGGUGCGAGCGUUAAUCGGAAUUACUGGGUAAAGCGCAUGCAGGUGGUUUGUUAAGUCAGAUGUGAAAGCCCGGGGCUCAACCUCGG